AAAUUGAAGAGUUUGAUCAUGGCUCAGAUUGAACGCUGGCGGCAGGCCUAACACAUGCAAGUCGAACGGUAACAGGAAACAGCUUGCUGUUUCGCUGACGAGUGGCGGACGGGUGAGUAAUGUCUGGGAAACUGCCUGAUGGAGGGGGAUAACUACUGGAAACGGUAGCUAAUACCGCAUAAUGUCGCAAGACCAAAGAGGGGGACCUUCGGGCCUCUUGCCAUCAGAUGUGCCCAGAUGGGAUUAGCUAGUAGGUGGGGUAA
This 263-nucleotide ribosomal RNA is filed under the name Escherichia coli. RNAcentral describes it as "partial 16S ribosomal RNA". It matches the Rfam family "Bacterial small subunit ribosomal RNA", at positions 1 to 260 of the family's 1533-position model. The record is from RNAcentral. Lineage: Bacteria; Pseudomonadati; Pseudomonadota; Gammaproteobacteria; Enterobacterales; Enterobacteriaceae.